UACGUAGGGGCAAGCGUUGUCCGGAUUUAUUGGGCGUAAAGAGCGUGUAGGCGGCCAGACAGGUCUGCUGUGAAAACUCGAGGCUCAACCUCGAGACGCCGGUGGAAACCGUUUGGCUAGAGUCCGGAAGAGGAGAGUGGAAUUCCUGGUGUAGCGGUGAAAUGCGCAGAUAUCAGGAAGAACACCCGUGGCUAAGGCGGCUCUCUAGUACGGUACUGACGCUGAGACGCGAAAGCGUGGGGAGCGAACAGG
RNAcentral lists this ribosomal RNA (252 nucleotides) under uncultured bacterium. Its description in RNAcentral is "partial 16S ribosomal RNA". It matches the Rfam family "Bacterial small subunit ribosomal RNA", at positions 524 to 776 of the family's 1533-position model. The record is from RNAcentral.